Molecule: transfer RNA, 213 nt
Filed under: Marmota monax (woodchuck)
Lineage: Eukaryota; Metazoa; Chordata; Mammalia; Rodentia; Sciuridae
Description: tRNA.Arg
Source: RNAcentral
GGGGACUUAGCUCAGUGGUUUAGUGUGUCCUGGCUACGAAAACAAAAUACAAAAUAAUUAAAAAAUAAAAUAAAUAAUAAUAAUAAUAAACUAAAUAAAUAAAAAUAAAUAAAUAAUUAAUUAAUUAAAAAAGAAAACAAAAUAAUAAAACAAAAACAAAAUAAAACCAAAAAGACAUACCACCGGAUGGAACCUGCAGGACAGGGUUCUCUG